RNAcentral lists this ribosomal RNA (797 nucleotides) under uncultured Porphyromonadaceae bacterium. RNAcentral describes it as "bacterial SSU rRNA". It matches the Rfam family "Bacterial small subunit ribosomal RNA", at positions 8 to 795 of the family's 1533-position model. The record is from RNAcentral. Lineage: Bacteria; Pseudomonadati; Bacteroidota; Bacteroidia; Bacteroidales; Porphyromonadaceae.
AGAGUUUGAUUCUGGCUCAGGAUGAACGCUAGCGAUAGGCCUAACACAUGCAAGUCGAGGGGCAGCACAUGAAGUAGCAAUACGGAUGGUGGCGACCGGCGCACGGGUGAGUAACGCGUAUGCAACCUGCCUACAACAGGGGAAUAACCCGUUGAAAGACGGACUAAUACCCCAUAACACAGGGAUCCCGCAUGGGAAUAUUUGUUAAAGAUUUAUCGGUUGUAGAUGGGCAUGCGUUCCAUUAGCUUGUUGGUGAGGUAACGGCUCACCAAGGCAACGAUGGAUAGGGGAACUGAGAGGUUUAUCCCCCACACUGGUACUGAGACACGGACCAGACUCCUACGGGAGGCAGCAGUGAGGAAUAUUGGUCAAUGGACGCAAGUCUGAACCAGCCACGUCGCGUGAAGGAAGACGGCCCUACGGGUUGUAAACUUCUUUUGUAAGGGAAUAAAGUGUAGUACGUGUACUAUUUUGCAUGUACCUUACGAAUAAGGAUCGGCUAACUCCGUGCCAGCAGCCGCGGUAAUACGGAGGAUCCGAGCGUUAUCCGGAUUUAUUGGGUUUAAAGGGUGCGCAGGCGGGAGAUUAAGUCGGCGGUGAAAUUUUGCAGCUCAACUGUAAAAGUGCCUUCGAAACUGGUUUCCUUGAGUGUGGAUGAAGUAGGCGGAAUUUGUGGUGUAGCGGUGAAAUGCAUAGAUAUCACGAGGAACUCCGAUUCCGCAUGCAGCUUACUAAACCAUAACUGACGCUCAGCACGAAAGCGUGGGGAUCAAACAGGAUUAGAUACCCUGGUAGUC